Molecule: unclassified non-coding RNA, 236 nt
Filed under: Ascomycota sp.
Lineage: Eukaryota; Fungi; Ascomycota
Description: partial contains 5.8S ribosomal RNA, internal transcribed spacer 2, and large subunit ribosomal RNA
Source: RNAcentral
CGCACAUUGCGCCCUUUGGUAUUCCGAAGGGCAUGCCUGUUCGAGCGUCAUUAUAACCACUCAAGCCUGGCUUGGUAUUGGAGUUCGCUAUCGGCGGCUCCUAAAAUCAGUGGCGGCGCCGCUCGGCUUCAAGCGUAGUAAUUCUUCUCGCUAUAGGGUCCUGCGGGUGACUUGCCAACAACCCCUAAUUUUUUCAGGUUGACCUCGGAUCAGGUAGGGAUACCCGCUGAACUUAA